RNAcentral lists this long non-coding RNA (721 nucleotides) under Gallus gallus (chicken). Lineage: Eukaryota; Metazoa; Chordata; Aves; Galliformes; Phasianidae. The record is from RNAcentral.
AGCGAUUCAGCUGUAACAUGAUUUGAAAUAUGCAAUCAAUGUAAACGAAGAAAAAUAUUUUGAAUGCAGUGUAUAAACCAUGUGGUUCCUUAGACAUAUUUUUAGGAAAAGAAAAAAAGAUGAUGAUUGUCAUGCCAUAUAACAAUAAUGCUACUGGAAAUAUAUGCAGCAGCUUUAUUUUCUGUCACGGUGAAGACAAUCUUAAGCCUUGGUCAUUUAAAUCAAAGACAUUCUCAUCUCUUCUGUGUAGCUGAUUCUUCAUGACAUAACAAGAAAUGAGGGGGAUAAGGAGUAAUAAGGCCUGAAAUCUUGGCUUAAUGUUGUAUUUAAAAUGUAUAAAGCAAGUUCAAAAAGAUACUUCCCUAGUUUUAGUAGUAAAUAUUUAUUAAACAGAAAAACCUUCGAUGAAGUACUCUCCAAAACGACUUUACUAAUGGAGCUAUAAUUCGUUAAGGAUCUAGAAGUGUUGUAACAGUCUUGAAUUAGAGAUGCCUUAGGUUGUCCUGUAAGUCACUGGACUGUCUGUUGUGCAGACUGCCUUAUAUCCUACUGAUUUGCUACCCCUGGAUCCUGCAGGUGUACUAGCCAGAGAGCCAAGCUGGAUGGCAUACAGUAAAGAGUCUGCAAGAGCUUCCAUCAUCCAUCGAUAGAAGAAUUAAACUUUGCUGCACUCCAGCUAGCUAGGUACUUCAUCCUCCUCUGAUAGAGGAAAGCAUCUGUG